GGGUAGGGAGCAUGGUUUGAGAGUCGCUUCCUGAACCUGUGAUAGAGCAAAAAACGCAAGUCACAAAAUGUCGGACACCCGAAGUCAAAGGGUGAGGUUUUAUUACGGAUUGAACCACAAGCCAUUUUGUCUCUUCGUUUCACAGGAGUGCCCCUCCGCGGCUGAUGUCAGUCGUCUAUACAGACUGAGCGAGGACACCGGAUGGGAUUUACAAAAUGCGACUUCCUGGCGGAACGCGACGACGCGCCACUUUAGGCCCCUUGGCCCUGGGCACCGCGCGCCCGGGACCAGCCCUACCCGCUGCCAACCCGGUGGGAAGUCGGCGAGCGGAGAGAUAAAGGCAGGAUCAGGAGCUGGACCUGCUUGCGACGCUGGGAGAAGCCUUCAGGAAAGUGGCGGCUGUUUUGCUACCGUGUCCUAUCCGAGGUGCUGGGCACAGACAAGGAAACUGAGAUGAGGAAACUCAACUUGCAAUGGUGGACCUAGAACUGGUCUGAAUUUAAGUUGAAAGCAUUUUUCUUUAAGUCGCAGUUGCCACUGGGGACUUCCGUCUCAGCUCUGAGUGGACAGCAGGGGAGCUCAGGAACGCAGAUGUGCCAUGCUCUCUGUCCUCACCCAGGGCUGUUGGACGUGCGAUUCUCUCUGCCUUCCCAGGCUUCCCUCAGCCUCCAUGGUAGGAGCAUUUCUAGAAUGUUCCUGGAAGCUCCCUGGAUUAGCCGUCUGUAGCCCGACUGGCACCCGGAAUUUUUAUUUGUGUAUCUCUCCGCUCCAGACAGGAAGCCCCUCAAGGAUUGAGAUCAUGUUGUCUUGUUCCCCAUGUUGUGUUUCCUCUGCCACUGCCUGCCUCC
This is a long non-coding RNA of Rhinolophus ferrumequinum (greater horseshoe bat), 848 nucleotides long. RefSeq lists it as uncharacterized. The transcript is spliced from 3 exons. Lineage: Eukaryota; Metazoa; Chordata; Mammalia; Chiroptera; Rhinolophidae. The record is from RefSeq and is a predicted model, not a curated record.